AGAACGAACGCUGGCGGCGUGGAUAAGACAUGCAAGUCGAGCGCUGAUUACGGGGUAGCAAUAUCUCGUAGUUGGAGCGGCGCAAGGGUGCGUAACACGUGGGUAAUCUGCCAUGAAGUCCGGGAUAACUCGCUGAAAGGCGAGCUAAUACCGUAUGUGAAAAUCGGAAGGCAUCUUCUGAUUUUCAAAGCUGGGGACCGUAAGGCCUGGCGCUUCAUGAUGAGCCCGCGGCCUAUCAGCUAGUUGGUGAGGUAACGGCUCACCAAGGCUAAGACGGGUAGCUGGUCUGAGAGGACGACCAGCCACACUGGAACUGAGACACGGUCCAGACACCUACGGGUGGCAGCAGUCGAGUAAUUUUCAC
Molecule: ribosomal RNA, 364 nt
Filed under: uncultured bacterium
Lineage: Bacteria
Description: SSU rRNA
Rfam family: Bacterial small subunit ribosomal RNA
Source: RNAcentral